This is a long non-coding RNA of Rhipicephalus sanguineus (brown dog tick), 311 nucleotides long. RefSeq lists it as uncharacterized. NCBI's taxonomy places the organism in Eukaryota, Metazoa, Arthropoda, Arachnida, Ixodida, Ixodidae. The record is from RefSeq and is a predicted model, not a curated record. The transcript is spliced from 2 exons.
CGGAUCACUUCUCCCGCCUCUUCUCUCCAGUUGACAGCCACACUCGGGGAAACAAAGGUGCCGCUCUGGUCUGGCGCCUCACCGCUCGUGAUGGGAAAAUCGACAGCGGCGUUCGCCCUGUCAACGAGGCAGUCGGUCCUACAUUUGCUUUGGUUGGACAAGACGACGUAGGAAAAGAGAUACCGUUUUUCAUGGUGCUCACGCUGAACAGGAGCGACAACCUAACAAGCCACAAGUCUGAUGCCUCCAGCCGUCACCACUUUUUGAUUUAUUCUUAAUCAUAAGGAAUAAAUAUGGAAACAUGAUGCCGA